GACGAACGCUGGCGGCGUGCUUAACACAUGCAAGUCGAACGGAAAGGCCCUGCUUUUGUGGGGUGCUCGAGUGGCGAACGGGUGAGUAACACGUGAGUAACCUGCCCUUGACUUUGGGAUAACUUCAGGAAACUGGGGCUAAUACCGGAUAGGAGCUCCUGCUGCAUGGUGGGGGUUGGAAAGUUUCGGCGGUUGGGGAUGGACUCGCGGCUUAUCAGCUUGUUGGUGGGGUAGUGGCUUACCAAGGCUUUGACGGGUAGCCGGCCUGAGAGGGUGACCGGGCACAUUGGGACUGAGAUACGGCCCAGAAUCCUACGGGCGGCAGCAGUGGGGAAUAUUGCACAAUGGGCGGAAGCCUGAUGCAGCAACGCCGCGUGCGGGAUGACGGCCUUCGGGUUGUAAACCGCUUUCGCCUGUGACGAAGCGUGAGUGACGGUAAUGGGUAAAGAAGCACCGGCUAACUACGUG
Molecule: ribosomal RNA, 468 nt
Filed under: uncultured bacterium
Lineage: Bacteria
Description: partial 16S ribosomal RNA
Rfam family: Bacterial small subunit ribosomal RNA
Source: RNAcentral